Non-coding RNA from Eucalyptus grandis, 119 nucleotides. The record is from Rfam. NCBI's taxonomy places the organism in Eukaryota, Viridiplantae, Streptophyta, Magnoliopsida, Myrtales, Myrtaceae.
GGGUGCGAUCAUACCAGCACUAAUGCACCGGAUCCCAUCAGAACUCCGAAGUUAAGCGUGCUUGGGCGAGACUAGUACUAGGAUGGGUGACCUCCUGGGAAGUCCUCGUGUUGCACCCC